This is a long non-coding RNA of Tupaia belangeri chinensis (Chinese tree shrew), 390 nucleotides long. RefSeq lists it as uncharacterized. The record is from RefSeq and is a predicted model, not a curated record. Lineage: Eukaryota; Metazoa; Chordata; Mammalia; Scandentia; Tupaiidae. The transcript is spliced from 4 exons.
CGGCCACCGGUCACCGGCCACGCGGCGGCCGGGAGUCAAGUGCUUUCACGUGAACUCUCGAUGUUUUUCACUAGUUCACGCAUUUGCCAGGAAACGCCUAUCUUGGCAAGAUAACCUGGAGGAACCUACACAUGGGAGCACACACACACUAAGGCAAAAACCUCUAAAAAAGUUUUUUUUUGGUUAUCAUGUGAUAAUCAUGAAGAUGGAGCAAAAGGUGACCUCAUGGACUAAAGAAGGAGAGGAAGACUAAGCAGACUUGUCCCAGAACAGAGCCUGGCACAGAGUUUGUGUCAACACUUAUUUGUCAAGAGGUGACCCAGAGAGACACAGACCGAGAACCAGGAAAUUGGAUGGGACUCGAGGCCUUGAACUGAUUUCAGGACCAGC